Molecule: transfer RNA, 88 nt
Filed under: Felis catus (domestic cat)
Lineage: Eukaryota; Metazoa; Chordata; Mammalia; Carnivora; Felidae
Rfam family: tRNA
About the family: Transfer RNA (tRNA) molecules are approximately 80 nucleotides in length.
Source: Rfam by way of RNAcentral
GCUUGAAUGGCUCAGUCGGUUGAGCAUCUGACUUCAGCUCAGCUCCUGAUCUCAAGAAGGCUCAUGAGUUCAAGCCUCAUGUAGGGCU